This 254-nucleotide ribosomal RNA is filed under the name uncultured bacterium. RNAcentral's name for it is "partial 16S ribosomal RNA". It matches the Rfam family "Bacterial small subunit ribosomal RNA", at positions 524 to 776 of the family's 1533-position model. The record is from RNAcentral.
GACGUAGGGAGCGAGCGUUGUCCGGAUUCAUUGGGCGUAAAGAGCGCGCAGGCGGUUUGGUAAGUCGGAUGUGAAAACCCGGGGCUCAACCCCGGGCGUGCAUCUCGAUACUGCCCGACUAGAGGUAGGUAGGGGAGAUCGGAAUUCCUGGUGUAGCGGUGAAAUGCGCAGAUAUCAGGAGGAACACCGGUGGCGAAGGCGGAUCUCUGGGCCUUACCUGACGCUCAGGCGCGAAAGCUAGGGGAGCGAACAGG